AUCGGCUCCAUUAGACUUGGUCUACACUAUUGAAAGUAUUUGAAAACUAAAGUUCAUAAUUUUUCGACAUUAUUUGGCUAGUGAUCAAAAGGUCUCAGAAUUGACAAUUUUAACGGUAGAUUUGAUGUGUUUGUGAAUUUAACGGUGUAAAACAAUCUAAAUUUGAUAAAAUUUUUUAUAGAAAAUUCUUUUCACUAUUUAAAGUAAGAUCAGUACCUCUGAUUUUAAAUUCAACUCUUUUAUCAUCAUUUUUUUUUGAGAUUUUUAUUUUCAGCCGUUCAUUUUUAGACUACUCGUUUGAUAGGUAAAUGAUGCCGAAAAAUUAUGAAAUUAAUUUCCAAAUACUUUCAAUAGUGUAGAUCAAGUCUAACGGAGCCAAUCGUCGAUUUGGAAGCCACAUCAUUGAAAACAACCUGGUAGCACGGAGGCUUCCGUGCUACCGAUAGUAUACCAGCCUAGCUCUAUAUAUAUAACCAAGUUGUUUUUAAUGGUGCGGCUUUCAAAUCAACGAUCGGCUCUGUUAUACUUGAUCUACACUAUUGAAAGUAUUUGGAAACUAAAUUUCAUAAUUUUUCAGCGUCAUUUACCUAUCAAACGAGUAGUCUCAAAAUGAACGGCUGAAAAAAAAAUCUCAUAAAAAAUGAUGAUAGAAGACUUGAAUUUAAGAUCAGGGGUAUUGGUCUUAUUCUAAAUGGUAAAAAAAAAAAUAUAAAAAUUUUAUCAGAUUUGGAUUGUUUUACAUCGUUAAAUUCAUAAACGCAUCACAUCUGCCAUUAAAAUUGUCAAUUUUUAGACUUU
RNAcentral lists this long non-coding RNA (798 nucleotides) under Ananas comosus (pineapple). Its description in RNAcentral is "long non-coding RNA (ACOM_LNC022278)". The record is from RNAcentral. Lineage: Eukaryota; Viridiplantae; Streptophyta; Magnoliopsida; Poales; Bromeliaceae.